AAUGGGUCAGCGACUUAUAUUCUGUAGCAAGGUUAACCGAAUAGGGGAGCCGAAGGGAAACCGAGUCUUAACUGGGCGUUAAGUUGCAGGGUAUAGACCCGAAACCCGGUGAUCUAGCCAUGGGCAGGUUGAAGGUUGGGUAACACUAACUGGAGGACCGAACCGACUAAUGUUGAAAAAUUAGCGGAUGACUUGUGGCUGGGGGUGAAAGGCCAAUCAAACCGGGAGAUAGCUGGUUCUCCCCGAAAGCUAUUUAGGUAGCGCCUCGUGAAUUCAUCUCCGGGGGUAGAGCACUGUUUCGGCAAGGGGGUCAUCCCGACUUACCAACCCGAUGCAAACUGCGAAUACCGGAGAAUGUUAUCACGGGAGACACACGGCGGGUGCUAACGUCCGUCGUGAAGAGGGAAACAACCCAGACCGCCAGCUAAGGUCCCAAAGUCAUGGUUAAGUGGGAAACGAUGUGGGAAGGCCCAGACAGCCAGGAUGUUGGCUUAGAAGCAGCCAUCAUUUAAAGAAAGCGUAAUAGCUCACUGGUCGAGUCGGCCUGCGCGGAAGAUGUAACGGGGCUAAACCAUGCACCGAAGCUGCGGCAGCGACACUAUGUGUUGUUGGGUAGGGGAGCGUUCUGUAAGCCUGUGAAGGUGUACUGUGAGGUAUGCUGGAGGUAUCAGAAGUGCGAAUGCUGACAUAAGUAACGAUAAAGCGGGUGAAAAGCCCGCUCGCCGGAAGACCAAGGGUUCCUGUCCAACGUUAAUCGGGGCAGGGUGAGUCGACCCCUAAGGCGAGGCCGAAAGGCGUAGUCGAUGGGAAACAGGUUAAUAUUCCUGUACUUGGUGUUACUGCGAAGGGGGGACGGAGAAGGCUAUGUUGGCCGGGCGACGGUUGUCCCGGUUUAAGCGUGUAGGCUGGUUUUCCAGGCAA
Molecule: ribosomal RNA, 921 nt
Filed under: Escherichia coli
Lineage: Bacteria; Pseudomonadati; Pseudomonadota; Gammaproteobacteria; Enterobacterales; Enterobacteriaceae
Description: partial 23S ribosomal RNA
Rfam family: Bacterial large subunit ribosomal RNA
Source: RNAcentral